CUUCACUGUCAAAGUGUCUAUUACUGAUAUUGUCUAAACUUGGAAGUAAAGCAAGGCAAGGUCUGGUUAGUAUUUAAAUAGGAGGCCACCUGGAUAUACUAGGUACUGUUGAAGA
Molecule: ribosomal RNA, 115 nt
Filed under: Salvator merianae (Argentine black and white tegu)
Lineage: Eukaryota; Metazoa; Chordata; Lepidosauria; Squamata; Teiidae
Source: RNAcentral